AUUGAACGCUGGCGGCGUGCUUUACACAUGCAAGUCGAACGGCAUCACGGGUGCUUGCACCUGGUGGCGAGUGGCGAACGGGUGAGUAAUACAUCGAGACGUACCAAGUAGAGGGGGAUAACUAAUCGAAAGAUUAGCUAAUACCGCAUAAUCUCUGAGGAGGAAAGGUGGGGACCAGCAAUGGCCUGUCGUUACUUGAGCGGUCGAUGGUUGAUUAGCUAGUUGGUGGGGUAAGAGCUUACCAAGGCGAUGAUCGAUAGCUGUUCUGAGAGGAAGAUCAGCCACACUGGGACUGAGACACGGCCCAGACUCCUACGGGAGGCAGCAGUGGGGAAUAUUGGACAAUGGGGGCAAGCCUGAUCCAGCCAUGCCGCGUGAGUGAAGAAGGUCUUCGGAUUGUAAAGCUCUUUUGCCAGGGACGAUAAUGACGGUACCUGGAGAAUAAGCCCCGGCAAACUUCGUGCCAGCAG
This 470-nucleotide ribosomal RNA is filed under the name uncultured bacterium. RNAcentral's name for it is "bacterial SSU rRNA". It matches the Rfam family "Bacterial small subunit ribosomal RNA", at positions 30 to 514 of the family's 1533-position model. The record is from RNAcentral.